This 2899-nucleotide ribosomal RNA is filed under the name Klebsiella pneumoniae. Its description in RNAcentral is "23S ribosomal RNA". It matches the Rfam family "Bacterial large subunit ribosomal RNA". The record is from RNAcentral. Lineage: Bacteria; Pseudomonadati; Pseudomonadota; Gammaproteobacteria; Enterobacterales; Enterobacteriaceae.
UUAAGCGACUAAGCGUACACGGUGGAUGCCCUGGCAGUCAGAGGCGAUGAAGGACGUGCUAAUCUGCGAAAAGCGUCGGUAAGGUGAUAUGAACCGUUACAGCCGGCGAUGUCCGAAUGGGGAAACCCAGUGCAAUUCGUUGCACUAUCGUUAACUGAAUACAUAGGUUAACGAGGCGAACCGGGGGAACUGAAACAUCUAAGUACCCCGAGGAAAAGAAAUCAACCGAGAUUCCCCCAGUAGCGGCGAGCGAACGGGGAGCAGCCCAGAGUCUGAAUCAGCUUGUGUGUUAGUGGAACGGUCUGGAAAGUCCGACGGUACAGGGUGAUAGUCCCGUACACCAAAAUGCACAGGUUGUGAACUCGAAGAGUAGGGCGGGACACGUGGUAUCCUGUCUGAAUAUGGGGGGACCAUCCUCCAAGGCUAAAUACUCCUGACUGACCGAUAGUGAACCAGUACCGUGAGGGAAAGGCGAAAAGAACCCCGGCGAGGGGAGUGAAAAAGAACCUGAAACCGUGUACGUACAAGCAGUGGGAGCACCUUCGGGUGUGACUGCGUACCUUUUGUAUAAUGGGUCAGCGACUUAUAUUCUGUAGCAAGGUUAACCGUAUAGGGGAGCCGCAGGGAAACCGAGUCUUAACUGGGCGUUAAGUUGCAGGGUAUAGACCCGAAACCCGGUGAUCUAGCCAUGGGCAGGUUGAAGGUUGGGUAACACUAACUGGAGGACCGAACCGACUAAUGUUGAAAAAUUAGCGGAUGACUUGUGGCUGGGGGUGAAAGGCCAAUCAAACCGGGAGAUAGCUGGUUCUCCCCGAAAGCUAUUUAGGUAGCGCCUCGUGAACUCAUCUUCGGGGGUAGAGCACUGUUUCGGCUAGGGGGUCAUCCCGACUUACCAACCCGAUGCAAACUACGAAUACCGAAGAAUGUUAUCACGGGAGACACACGGCGGGUGCUAACGUCCGUCGUGAAGAGGGAAACAACCCAGACCGCCAGCUAAGGUCCCAAAGUCAUGGUUAAGUGGGAAACGAUGUGGGAAGGCACAGACAGCCAGGAUGUUGGCUUAGAAGCAGCCAUCAUUUAAAGAAAGCGUAAUAGCUCACUGGUCGAGUCGGCCUGCGCGGAAGAUGUAACGGGGCUAAACCAUGCACCGAAGCUGCGGCAGCGACACUAUGUGUUGUUGGGUAGGGGAGCGUUCUGUAAGCCUGCGAAGGUGUGCUGUGAGGCAUGCUGGAGGUAUCAGAAGUGCGAAUGCUGACAUAAGUAACGAUAAAGCGGGUGAAAAGCCCGCUCGCCGGAAGACCAAGGGUUCCUGUCCAACGUUAAUCGGGGCAGGGUGAGUCGACCCCUAAGGCGAGGCCGAAAGGCGUAGUCGAUGGGAAACAGGUUAAUAUUCCUGUACUUGGUGUUACUGCGAAGGGGGGACGGAGAAGGCUAUGUUAGCCGGGCGACGGUUGUCCCGGUUUAAGCAUGUAGGCUGAUUGUCCAGGCAAAUCCGGAUAAUCAAGGCUGAGGUGUGAUGACGAGGCACUACGGUGCUGAAGUAACAAAUGCCCUGCUUCCAGGAAAAGCCUCUAAGCAUCAGGUAACAUUAAAUCGUACCCCAAACCGACACAGGUGGUCAGGUAGAGAAUACCAAGGCGCUUGAGAGAACUCGGGUGAAGGAACUAGGCAAAAUGGUGCCGUAACUUCGGGAGAAGGCACGCUGGUGUGUAGGUGAAGUCCCUGCGGAUGGAGCUGAGACCAGUCGAAGAUACCAGCUGGCUGCAACUGUUUAUUAAAAACACAGCACUGUGCAAACACGAAAGUGGACGUAUACGGUGUGACGCCUGCCCGGUGCCGGAAGGUUAAUUGAUGGGGUUAUCCGUAAGGAGAAGCUCUUGAUCGAAGCCCCGGUAAACGGCGGCCGUAACUAUAACGGUCCUAAGGUAGCGAAAUUCCUUGUCGGGUAAGUUCCGACCUGCACGAAUGGCGUAAUGAUGGCCAGGCUGUCUCCACCCGAGACUCAGUGAAAUUGAACUCGCUGUGAAGAUGCAGUGUACCCGCGGCAAGACGGAAAGACCCCGUGAACCUUUACUAUAGCUUGACACUGAACAUUGAGCCUUGAUGUGUAGGAUAGGUGGGAGGCUUUGAAGCGUGGACGCCAGUCUGCGUGGAGCCAACCUUGAAAUACCACCCUUUAAUGUUUGAUGUUCUAACGUUGGCCCCUGACCGGGGUUGCGGACAGUGUCUGGUGGGUAGUUUGACUGGGGCGGUCUCCUCCCAAAGCGUAACGGAGGAGCACGAAGGUUAGCUAAUCCUGGUCGGACAUCAGGAGGUUAGUGCAAUGGCAUAAGCUAGCUUGACUGCGAGCGUGACGGCGCGAGCAGGUGCGAAAGCAGGUCAUAGUGAUCCGGUGGUUCUGAAUGGAAGGGCCAUCGCUCAACGGAUAAAAGGUACUCCGGGGAUAACAGGCUGAUACCGCCCAAGAGUUCAUAUCGACGGCGGUGUUUGGCACCUCGAUGUCGGCUCAUCACAUCCUGGGGCUGAAGUAGGUCCCAAGGGUAUGGCUGUUCGCCAUUUAAAGUGGUACGCGAGCUGGGUUUAGAACGUCGUGAGACAGUUCGGUCCCUAUCUGCCGUGGGCGCUGGAGAAUUGAGGGGGGCUGCUCCUAGUACGAGAGGACCGGAGUGGACGCAUCACUGGUGUUCGGGUUGUCAUGCCAAUGGCACUGCCCGGUAGCUAAAUGCGGAAGAGAUAAGUGCUGAAAGCAUCUAAGCACGAAACUUGCCCCGAGAUGAGUUCUCCCUGAGACUUUAAGUCUCCUGAAGGAACGUUGAAGACGACGACGUUGAUAGGCCGGGUGUGUAAGCGCAGCGAUGCGUUGAGCUAACCGGUACUAAUGAACCGUGAGGCUUAACCU